UUUGUGUAAGUUUUUACAAAAUUACUCUUGUGCUUCUACAAGCCUUUAUGUUCACUUUUGUUUGCUCAGCCUUUCUGAAGCAUGACCUUAGGACCUUUUGACAGGAGACAUUGAUUGAGUGGGAUGGGGAAAGGAAGGAAGAACUUGACUUUGAACCUCAAGAUAAAUACAUAAAGCUUUCCUGCAGAGAAGGAGCAUUCCUUGAGCAGUCAUGAUUGUAAACUUCCAAGUAUCAUCACAAGAUGGCAGAAGAUAAAUCAUGGGACAACUGACAUUGAAGACUCAGACGGCUCCUCAUAUGAAAAGUCAAGAGAAGAAGUUAGAGAUGAAGAAUAGAAGCCUUUUGGGGCUUCCUGGGAGUGACUACUGAGCUUAUUCAAGGGACUUGUGAUACAGUCACCUGACUCCAGAGCUACAUCUACCAAGUCUCCAGCCAUAUUCUACUCUGCUCUUUCUCUAGAGUCAACCUUCCCCAUGAAGUAUGGUCGAAGUUAUGAACUGGUCACAUUGAAUAGUGACAGGAGCUGACAGCUCUACUUGUCUCCCUUGUCUUGCCACCUCUCUAAAUACUUCCUGGAUUCCUCAACCAACUUCAUUACUUGUUACAUUUUCACCACAAAGUUUUGUGGAAAGAAAAGCAAGCAUGAACAGUACUGCAUUACCAACUCAGAACCAAAAUUCAAGACAAUAACACUGUGUAUGUAUUGAAUCCAGAUGGGAGGGCAUGAUGGAGGGAAGAUGGACCAAAAAAAUCUU
Molecule: long non-coding RNA, 756 nt
Organism: Vulpes vulpes (red fox)
Lineage: Eukaryota; Metazoa; Chordata; Mammalia; Carnivora; Canidae
Source: Ensembl